Long non-coding RNA from Drosophila obscura, 2629 nucleotides. RefSeq lists it as uncharacterized. The transcript has 5 exons. The record is from RefSeq and is a predicted model, not a curated record. Lineage: Eukaryota; Metazoa; Arthropoda; Insecta; Diptera; Drosophilidae.
CUAGGAAUAUGAUUGAUGAGUGCAGGGUGUUAAUUCGGUUUUAUUUUGUGUUAUGGGGUAUACGUGCGGGUUCGGUGGAGUGUGAUUUGUGAGUGAUGUGUGUAUGAGUCGUCUCCUCCUUCCUGCGCCGUCGUCGUCUCCUGGCUUCAAUUGUCGGGGCCGGGUUUUGGUCCCGCUGCCGAAUUUGCCUCCUGAAGAUACUGUUGCCGUUGCACAUGUGGCCUGCUUUGAUCUCUCCCGGAAACUGACCCUCGCAAUCUAACCUUCACGGCCUCGUUUUUUCUUCUCCAGCCUUGCCACCUUGCUCCCUCCUUGCAACCCUGUUACAGCCUCCCAGGAUCCACAACAGAGGCCGCUGUCUCCUCUCCUUCUCCAGCCAUGUCGGCUAAUGGCUCCUUCAGAAAAAAACCUUUUAAGCACCACACUCCCAUUUAAAGGUCCUGCCGUCGAAACGGGAGUGCAAAACCAAGGCGGCUUCCGGAUCUUAUCAGCCCAAAUGUAGGCUAUCGCCCACACCCUCGUCUCACGCUCUACCGACUUAUAUGACCGGGCUACUGCUUUAGAUCUUUAGCAUGGAACACUCCUAUCCGUGCCCCUUGCAGUGUCUCCAGUUCAUAUAAGCUGUUUCCUAAGCUCCGGACCACUCUGCACUUUCCAUACUUCGGACUAAACUUGUCAUUGCUAUUGUUUUUAAAAUUGCUUAAUAUGAAAUUCCGCUCAUACACUUCCUGUCCAGGUAAGUACCGGAUAUCUCUUGCCUUUCGAUCAUACCGCUCCUUCGAUUUCUUGUAGGCCUCAUGCGAAUUCUUCCGGACCUCAUCGCGGAUGAUCUCCUGCUGGUCUUGUCUUGCCUCGAGUGAUACUUGCGCAUCGUUCAGGGCUCCCAGCCUCCGUGAUAGUUUGUAGUCCCGCCCGCUGGUGAACAUGUGCUGUCCGAACAGCACGAAGUAGGGUGACGUGCCGAUGCCUGUGUGUAUCGCACUCCUGGCCGCACACUGUAUCUCCGUGAGCUUCUCAUCCCAGCGCGUAUGAUCGUCGCUUACGUAUGUCUGGAUGGCUGCCAGGACUGUCUGGUUUACGCGUUCUGCUGCGUUUGCCUGAGGGGCAUAGUUUCCCGAUCUCCUCUUGUUCAGGAAUUGUGUGAAUUCCGCCGACACAAACUGCUUGCCAUUAUCGGUGUGUACCGUUUCGGGCACUCCAAACUGUGGGAAGACCUCUUCUCGUAGGAAUCGGAUUGCGACUAUGGAAGUGGCCUUCGACAUGGCCUUUAGCCAAAUAUAUUUCGACAUGUGGUCGAGGACUAUCAGUAUGACCACAUUCCCGCUUCUCGUCCUAAGAUAUGGACCCAAAAAAUCAAGAUAAAGCUUCUGGAUCGGCCUCUCGGUUACUGUUUCCGCCCCCAUGAGUGGACGUUUAAUCUGCGUUGAGUGCUUUGUCUCCCUACAGGUUUCACAGCCGGUCACGUACGCCUUCACCUGUACUGUCAUACGGGGCCAAUAGUAAUACUGCUGUAGGCGUCCCAGUGUCCUCGCGAUACCUCCAUGCAUUGCCACGUCGCUAUCGUGUGCCUCCUGGAUCAGCGUGCUCGUCAGUGCUUCUGGAAUCCACAGCUUCCACUGGAACUCCUCCAACUCUGGCCGGGCAAAUUGUGUACGCCUAAACAGCAGGCCAUCCUCCACCUUCAGGACUGGAAAGUUGUCCCUAUCAUGCUGGACUGUCUCUAUCCUCCCCAGGUAUUCCUUGUCUUCGAAUGCUGUGGUGUCAGAGUCCAGGAAGUCGAUCGCCUCUACGUCAAACGGACGAGAGAGCAUAUCCGCGACAACGUUGUCCUUCCCCUUGCGGUGCUCUAUCUCGAAGUCAUACGCCUGGAGAGCUAAUGACCAUCUAGCUAGUCUCCCAUCCAGCGCCUUGAACUUCAUCAGCCACUGCAAGCUUGCGUGAUCCGUUAUCACCGUGAAUGGCAUCAGCUCUACGAACGCUGUAAUUCAGUUGCGCGCCUCUCAACUUCGCCGAAAAAAACGCGAUCGGGUGUUCCGCUCCCUCCUGGAAGAGAACUGCUCCAAUCCCCACGUGGCUCCCAUCACACUGGAUAAAAAAGUGUUUCUUAAAGUCCGGGUGGCGUAACAAGGGAGCGCUGGCAGUCUGUGAGAGGAGCUGAUAAUGCCGAGAAAUUUCGAAUAAACUGGCGAUACCAGCCGGCUGUCCCCAAAAAUCUCCGAAUUUAUCGCACGUUCAUCGGCAUCGGUAUCUGCGUGAUCGUCUGUACCUUUUCCGGAUCGGUCCCCUUCAUGUGUUCCUCGAACGUCCGGGAAAUGACUAGCAGGUCAUCCAAAUAUACGAAGACAUGGCUUCGUAGUCGCUGGGGAAUCACGCGGUCCAUUAAUCGACACAGACGCUGUGCUGCGUUGCACAAUCCGAACGGCAUCGACUUAAAUUGAUAGAGUGGUCUCCCUGGCACCGCAAAUGCUGUAUACGUUCGACUUUCGGGCUCCAGCUCUAUCUGCCAAAAGGCGUGCUUCAAGUCAAUGCUGCUGAUGAACACGGUGUCCUCAACCCGGCUCAGGAUCGAUUCGAUGCUCUGCAGUGGGUAAGCAUCCUUGAUUGUUAGCCUGUUCAGCUUCCGCGCAUC